GUUCGUAUAGUGUUUUAGCAUGUAAAAUUUUCGCGUUUAAGGUAUCUAUAUAGAUUACGAAUA
Molecule: transfer RNA, 63 nt
Filed under: Septifer bilocularis
Lineage: Eukaryota; Metazoa; Mollusca; Bivalvia; Mytilida; Mytilidae
Description: tRNA-Glu
Source: RNAcentral